This 2730-nucleotide ribosomal RNA is filed under the name Triticum aestivum (bread wheat). Its description in RNAcentral is "partial small subunit ribosomal RNA". The record is from RNAcentral. Lineage: Eukaryota; Viridiplantae; Streptophyta; Magnoliopsida; Poales; Poaceae.
AUGGCGUCCAGCCUCGCCGCCGCCCCUUCUCUGGCUCCGGCCCCGGUCAGGUUGGGCUGCUCCCUCCAGCUCCACCUCCUCCUCCGCCGCCCCGCCCUACUUGUCUUUCCCAAAGUCGGACGCCCCCACCUCCGACUCCGACUCAGAGCCCAAGCCUCCCCUUCCCCCUCUCCUGAAGCCGAAGCCGGCGACUCCUUCGCCGGCUGGUCGGACAAGCAGGAUGCUGAUUCUGAUUCAGGAGGCCUUGUUGGACCUGCCCUUGCUGGCCUCCUCUUCCUCGCCGGCAUCACAUUCGCCGCUAUCUCACUCAGACCCACAGGAUCAAAGGCACCCAUCCAAACCUUUUUGCCCACACACACCGAGACAAAGGCUGAUACUACUCCUGAACAACAACAACAAGACGACGACGACGACGACGACGCUGCUGCUGCUGCUCAGGCUUUGUCACCAGCCGAUGAUAUCCUGGAUGCCACCAGUGAGGCAACACCGUUGCCUAAUAAUCUACAAACACACGAGACAAUACCCGAGGCCGAGGGAGCACCUCAACAUGACAUGGACAACAACUACCAAUUGGAUCUGGAUCGCAGCAGCAGUGACCUAGAUCCGACAACUCAUAAAUACAUUGCUUCACAAGAUGACACUCAAACUCCUCCUGUGUCUCAUUCACCUCAAUCUUUGCUCCCUGCUUAUGAUCCAACCUCUCAGGAGGCAACUCCUGACCCACAGGCCGAGGCAUUGUUAUUGGACUCUCAACCCAGUUUGCCAGAAAACCAGGAUACUUUCACUUCAGAUAUUAUGGUGCUGGAAUCUGGUGAUGUUGUGCAAAUAUCCGACACUCUGGCUGAGCCUACACAUUUACAAGACACUGAGCAGAAUACUCAACUUUCAACUCAAGAUGGAAUUUCUUCUGCAUCCACUUUUCCUGAUUAUGUACCAUAUGGAAGCACUGACCAGAUGCUUCCAUCGGGCUCAAAUGACUUACCCACUCAAGAUGCUAACCCAGCAAAGGCGAUACAAGACCCAGCAUCAGACCAGGAUGAAGGCCAAAAUGAGUCAGAUAACCAAAAUGAACUGUUCAAGCCUGCAGCACCUGCCACAUCUUUCUCUUCCGGAAUUCCUGCCCCCUCUCUGCUCUCUGCAGCCUUACAGGUGCCUGCUGGCCAGAUUGUGGUUCCAGCGGCAGUUGACCCUACCCAGGGAAAUGCAUUGGCCGCGCUGCAAGUUCUAAAGGUGAUUGAGCCUGACGCUCGAGCUGGUGAUUUGUGUACCCGACGUGAAUACGCUCGAUGGUUGGUAGUUGCAAGCAAUGCCCUUUCGAGGAACACUUACUCAAAAGUUUAUCCAGCAAUGUACAUUGAUAACGUGUCUGAACUUGCAUUUGAUGACGUCACCACUGAAGAUCCUGAUUUUCCAUUUAUACAAGGAUUGGCAGAAGCAGGGUUAAUUUCUAGCAAGCUCUCAAGAUCCGAUAUGGACGUUGCUGAAAACGUUGAGAACAACCAUUACUUUUUCUCCGCGGAUAGUCCCUUGUCACGUCAAGACCUUGUGAGUUGGAAGAUGGCUUUGGAUAAAAGGCAACUACCUGAAGUUGACAAAAACUCUUUGUACAAGACAUCCGGCUACAUAGACAUUGAUAAAAUUGACACAGCUGCAUGGCCUGCAUUGGUAGCUGACUUGGGUGCUGGAGACCAGAGCAUCACAGCUCUUGCAUUCGGUUUUACAAGGCUUUUCCAGCCAGACAAACCUGUGACAAAAGGACAAGCUGCCCUAGCACUUUCAACUGGUGACUAUGCUGAAGUGGUUAUGGAGGAGCUUGCUCGUAUUGAAGCAGAUAAAAUAGCUGAAGCGGCUGUGAAUGCUCAUGGUGCGUUGGUAGCUGAGGUUGAGAAACAAAUCAAUUCAAGUUUUGAAAGAGAGCUUACGAGGGAAAGAGAAAAAAUUGAGACCCUUGAAAAACUGGCUGAAGAAGCUAGGUUUGAAUUGGACAAGUUGAGAGCAGAAAGAGAGGAAGAAAAGAAUGCUCUGCUUAGGGGCAGAGCUACCGUUGAAUCCGAAAUACAAGUUCUUUCAAAGUUGAGGUGUGAAGUAGAGGAGCAGCUGCAGAAUGUGCUGAGCAAGAAGGUUGAGAUCAACUUUGAGAAGAACAGAAUUGAGAAACUUCAAAAGGAAAUUGAAAAUGAAAACCAGGCUGCUGUGCAACUUCAGUAUGAGCUUGAAGUUGAAAGGAAGGCUUUGUCUAUGGCCAGGGCUUGGGCAGAAGAUGAAGCAAAGAAGGCCAGGGAGCAUGCUCGCGCCCUUGAGGAGGCCCGGAACCAGUGGGAGCGGCAGGGAAUCAAAGUUGUCGUCGAGGCAGGGCUUGAGGAGGAUGCAUCGGCCGGGGUGACAUGGGCUAAUGCUGGCAAAGAACACCCAGUUGACGAGGCAAUCAACCGGGCGGAGUCGUUGCUGGAGAAGCUCAAGUCGUUUGGUGGUGAGAUGAAAGUCCGAUCCAGCCAUGCCCUGGAGAGAGUAAUGCAGUACGUGAGGUCCUUGAUCUCAAGCCUAAAGCAGCGAGCGGCGGAAGCAAGGCAAGGGUGCGCAGAUCUUGGGGCUGCUGCAGCCUCAAAGGCAAAGAAUGUGUCAUCAGAAGCCAAGGCGUUUGGUUCAAGCGUCGGGGACAGGUCGAAGAAGGUAGCGGAGGAGUGCAAAGAUGGCCUGGAGAAGUUUGUGCACAGAUUCAAGGCAGACUAG